AACGAACGCUGGCGGCAUGCCUAACACAUGCAAGUCGAACGAGACCCUCGGGUCUAGUGGCGCACGGGUGCGUAACGCGUGGGAAUCUGCCCUGGGGUGCGGAAUAACUCGGAGAAAUCCGUGCUAAUACCGCAUAAUGUCUUCGGACCAAAGAUUUAUUGCCCUGGGAUGAGCCCGCGUCGGAUUAGCUAGUUGGUGAGGUAAAGGCUCACCAAGGCGACGAUCCGUAGCUGGUCUGAGAGGAUGAUCAGCCACACUGGGACUGAGACACGGCCCAGACUCCUACGGGAGGCAGCAGUGGGGAAUAUUGGACAAUGGGGGCAACCCUGAUCCAGCCAUGCCGCGUGAGUGAAGAAGGCCUUCGGGUUGUAAAGCUCUUUUGGCGGGGACGAUGAUGACGGUACCCGCAGAAUAAGCCCCGGCUAACUUCGUGCCAGCAGCCGCGGUAAU
Molecule: ribosomal RNA, 450 nt
Filed under: uncultured bacterium
Lineage: Bacteria
Description: bacterial SSU rRNA
Rfam family: Bacterial small subunit ribosomal RNA
Source: RNAcentral